This 68-nucleotide transfer RNA is filed under the name Marmota monax (woodchuck). Its description in RNAcentral is "tRNA.Ala". Lineage: Eukaryota; Metazoa; Chordata; Mammalia; Rodentia; Sciuridae. The record is from RNAcentral.
GGAUUGUGGCUCAGUGGUAGAGCGCUUGUAUAGCAUGUGCGAGGCCCUGGGUUCAAUCUUCAGCACCA